Molecule: ribosomal RNA, 497 nt
Filed under: uncultured bacterium
Lineage: Bacteria
Description: partial 16S ribosomal RNA
Rfam family: Bacterial small subunit ribosomal RNA
Source: RNAcentral
GAUGAACGCUGGCGGCGUGCCUAAUACAUGCAAGUCGAGCGAACGGACGAGAAGCUUGCUUUUCUGACGUUAGCGGCGGACGGGUGAGUAACACGUGGAUAACCUACCUAUAAGACUGGGAUAACUUCGGGAAACCGGAGCUAAUACCGGAUAAUAUUUUGAACCGCAUGGUUCAAAAGUGAAAGACGGUUUUGCUGUCACUUAUAGAUGGAUCCGCGCUGCAUUAGCUAGUUGGUAAGGUAACGGCUUACCAAGGCGACGAUGCAUAGCCGACCUGAGAGGGUGAUCGGCCACACUGGAACUGAGACACGGUCCAGACUCCUACGGGAGGCAGCAGUAGGGAAUCUUCCGCAAUGGGCGAAAGCCUGACGGAGCAACGCCGCGUGAGUGAUGAAGGUCUUCGGAUCGUAAAACUCUGUUAUUAGGGAAGAACAUAUGUGUAAGUAACUGUGCACAUCUUGACGGUACCUAAUCAGAAAGCCACGGCUAACUACGUG